UACGUAGGGUGCGAGCGUUAAUCGGAAUUACUGGGCGUAAAGUGUGCGCAGGCGGCCGCGCAAGUCGAGUGUGAAAGCCCCGGGCUUAACUUGGGAAUUGCGCUCGAAACUACGUGGCUGGAGUGUGGCAGAGGAAGGUGGAAUUCCAGGUGUAGCGGUGAAAUGCGUAGAGAUCUGGAGGAACACCGAUGGCGAAGGCAGCCUUCUGGGCCAACACUGACGCUCAUCGCACGAAAGCGUGGGGGAGCAAACAGG
Molecule: ribosomal RNA, 255 nt
Filed under: uncultured bacterium
Lineage: Bacteria
Description: partial 16S ribosomal RNA
Rfam family: Bacterial small subunit ribosomal RNA
Source: RNAcentral